RNAcentral lists this unclassified non-coding RNA (20 nucleotides) under Chlamydomonas reinhardtii. RNAcentral's name for it is "small RNA Cre_2832". The record is from RNAcentral. Lineage: Eukaryota; Viridiplantae; Chlorophyta; Chlorophyceae; Chlamydomonadales; Chlamydomonadaceae.
UGAAACACGGAGACGCUGUG